UAUUUGUAGGUAUUAGCAGCUGAGUUGUCAAUUCAACCACACCUGGAGAUUAAUUAUCUGCAGCAGCGUGAUCAGUAGCAAAGUAAUAUGGUAAUUUUAACGGUAAUAGUGAUAGCAGUAGUUUUAUAGAAAGUGCAACAAUAACGAUAGCAAUGGUAACUUAUCAAGAACAAUAUAGGAUAAAUUCGUAGGCAUUGGAUCGGUAAUUUGUUGGAUGAUAUUCAUCAUGUGACAGUCAUAACCUAGGGCGAUACGGCACUGGCUCCAGUUCAUAAAUAUAAUGUAGGCAUGUAUUCCGUAAAUAGUCAUACGUGCUUAUGGAAAGAACUUGCAUGACAUCUUUUGUCCUACCCUCCCGUGGCAGCGGGGUCCAAUUGGAAACUAAGGGAUAUUAAGGCCUCCUUUUAAUAGAGAACCGGAACAACGCAUUAACACACGGUGAAUACAUGAACUCCUCAAACUACGGUCAUCACCGGGAGUGGUCCCGACUAUUGUCACUCCGGGGUUGCCGGAUCAUAACACGUAGUAGGUGACUAUAACUUGCAAGAUCGGAUCUAGAACAUGGACAUAAUGGUGAUAACAUAAACGGUUCAGAUCUAAAAUCAUGGCACCCGGGCCCAAAGUGACAAGCAUUAAGCAUGGCAAAGUCAUAGCAACAUCAAUCUUAGAACAUAGUGGAUACUAGGUAUCAGGCCCUAACAAAACUAACUAGAUUACAUGAUGAAUCUCAUCCAACUCCUCACCGACCAGCGAGCCUAUGAAGGAAUUACUCACACCCGAUGGGGAGCAUCAUGGAAUUGGUGAUGGAGAAGGGUUGGUGAUGAUGAAGAUCGGAGAUCCCCCUCUCCGAAGCCCCAAACGGACUCCAGAUCUGGCCUCCCGAUGAAGAACAGGAGGUAACGGUGGUUCCGUCUCGUCGAUCAUGAUAAUUCUUUCUCCCUGAUUUUUCUGGAAAAAUGGGAUUUUAUAGUGUCGGUUUCAGAGUCUGCGGGGCCACCAGGUGGGGACAUGAUGUAGACCGAACCUCGUGGCGAGAUCCGAUCUGUCGUUGUUGCCCAAUCUUUCACGAAACUCCACCACUAGCAGUAGCAACCUCUCGCCCGCGCACGCGAUGUACACGAAGUAGAGGGUUUGAACCUUGCGGCCCAGCACGAGAAAACCAAUCUCGGCGAAGGUGCUCACGCCCAAAACAAUUUCCACGAAGAGAAAUCGCAACACAGAGGUUUUCUAAAGAUCCCUCCAAAACAUGAUACGGGUGUCUACCCAGAAAAACACAUCGUGUCUAUUUCAUAAAAAAUAACCUAAGCUUUACAAUGACGCAUCAUGGCUUUAUAUAUUAGCCAAUCCAUCUGACUUGAGCAACAAACCGAACUAUUCAUCAAUUGAUAUCUCUCAUGGCUAAACAUCAAAGGGAACUAAUUCUGUUGUAGGUUCGUGUGUCUUCUCUGAUUGCAUGGCAGGUGGACCCCAUCCAAUUUCCUUUAAGGAAAGAAGACUCCAUGUGCUGCAUCUUCUACAUGUUCCUCCCUGAUACGUCUCUUUGCCCGGCAAGAAUAAAUAUAAAAAUCUAAAUUGCAUUGAUUUCCUUCUUUUUUUGAACAGAACAAGGCACCAAAAGGUGCCCAAUAUCAUUAACAGGUCAUAACAACAGUACAAGAGAGAGUACAUAUGGCUUGAAUAGAGAUAGGGAAAAGGGAAACAACCAAAGAAAAUGAGCUGUUAAAAGCUAGCAAAGAUAGGUUGACCAAAAGUCAACCAGAUGAACUACAUCUAGAACAGAUGUGAUACACAUGAACUGAGACGCAUACAAGAGAAGUAGCAUCAGCCAAGCUUAACACAAAUGUGACUGAUGGCCACCAGCAAGCUAAGCUCUUUGUAGACUUCAGUAAUAAUCGACUGUCUGAUGUUGAGAUGCAGACCUGAACUAGUAGCAGAAAGGAGAGAAGAGCUGCCUGAACAAGAAUCCAUCCUGCUGCUAGAAACAAUACACUUUGUGCACCUGAAAACCUGAAAAAAUUAAAAUCACCCAAAAUGGCAGACACUGGACAGUCAUCGAAAGCAUGAGAGUGAGAGGAAGAAUCCAGAAUAGAACCACGAACAGACUGAAAAACCUGCUGAGCAAGGUUGUGAGCAACUUCAUUCAGGUUCCUAGAAAUAUGAAAUACUUGAGAGUUAAGAUGAGCAGUAGAUGUAACAAAGGAAGCCAGUUCUUUUCUGAUGUUCCAAGGGGCAGCCGAAUGGGUUAUCUUCCUAGAAGCCACAGCUGAAGCUAGAGAGAGACAAUCAGUUAAAAAUGUUGGUUGUUGUACACUAAGACUGGCUGCUAAAUGAGCUGCAUAUGCAAGAGCAACUGCUUCUGCUUGAAUAGGAGUAGAAGUAGGAGGCGCUGAAGCUUGAACCUGAAUGUUAAUUUCUCUCCGAGGAGAAGGUAUGCAAAAGUAAACUCCUAAACCUGUCUUUACUUCCCCUUGAGCAAGACCUGGAAUUUUUGAAGAUCUAAAGGUUGCAUCAGAAAAGAUUUUAGUACCAUUAAUCAACAUAUCAGAUUUAAGAGUCUGCCCUUGUUUAGGAACAACCUGAGCCUCAAGAUGGUUUUUAGCACAAAUCUGAUUAUUAGAAGGGAGGAAAGAAUCCUCAUGCAAUGCAAUGUCAAUAUGAGCAGCAGCAAUAUGCACUUUGUAAGGAAGACAUCUUUUCCUUUCAAACAAGAAAUCAUUUCUAGCUUUCCAGAUACACCAUAAAAAGUUCAAAACAUUUUGCAAGGAAGCAUAAGGAUGACCCAUAGUAACCAUAUGAAUGAGAAUAGCGUGCAUUGAAUUAUGGCCCUGAACAAGAGAGACGGAUCUGAGAAACCAAGGAGCAGAAAACCAGGCAGCUCUAGCAAAAUCACAAAGAAAGAAGAGAUGAAAUUCAUCCUCUUGCAGGGCACACCUACAACAAGUCUGAGAAAUAUAGUGAAAAAACGGCCUGCUCUAAUACCUGCCGGCAAAGCUUUACUAAGAAGCCUCCAAGCAAAAGUUUGGACUUUAGGCAACAAAUUUUUCUGCUUCCAAAUGACUUUGAGAAAGUUAUUUAACUCAAGAGAAACCUGAAGAGGAGCAGUUCUAGGAUGAGAGUGAAUGGCUUGCAAACAAAGGUUGUAGGCAGCUUUAGAAGAACAAAUCCCAUCAGGAGCCAAGGGCCAACAGAUCAAAUCUUCAUUAUUAUCCUCAAUGAUAUCAAUGUUAAUUAUUUGAGAAGCAAGAGGCUGCUGAAAUAAAGAGAAAAUAAGUUGAUGAUUCCAGUUUUUUUGCCCAGGCAGCCAAAGAUCUCUAACCAAAGAAGGAUAAAUAAAACCUGCUUGUUGAGUUAUAAGAAAAUCAUGAAUGGAAUUCCAAAAAGGACACCAAGGCAUACUCCACAAAGAGAUGUUUCCUUUAGUAAGCUGAUAGAAAGCAUAAUCUUUCAGUUUGGGAAGCAUUUUUAAAACAGAAGCCCAGAAAGCUGACUUAGGAGGGGCCACAGUGGCCUUCCAAAUAGUAGCAGUAGGAAAGUAUUUAGCCUGAAGAACACGAUAUAAAUGAGAAGAAGGGUCUUUAGCUAACCUCCAGGACGCAGCAAGAAUUAGGCUUUCGUUUAUUGCUUUUAAGUUUCUGAUGCCUAGUCCACCUUCUGCCUUAGAACUGGUGAUAUCCCUCCAAGCUCUGAGACAAAGACUCCUCCUAGAAUCUGCUUCUCGCACACCUGCCCACUAAAAAUUCCUAAUGAUAGCAGUAAGUUUGGCAAUGAACUUCUUGGAGAACAAAAUAUUAGCCAUGUAGUAAACCGGGAUAGCAGAGAAGACAGAGCGAAUAAGUUCAAGACGAGCAGCAUGGGAAAGCAUGUUAGCCUUGUAAGAGGGAAGCUUCUUUAAAAAUUUAUCUAACACAAAGUUGUAAGCUACACCUCUAUUUUUAGCAGGCAAAAUAAGAGGGCGGCCCAAAUGAGUGAAAUUAGCAUCAAGAUUAGCCACAGGAAAAAUAGACUUAAUGUCAUUGAUAAUGGCCUGAGACACAUGAGAACUAAAAAAAGAUGGCAGAUUUAUUCCAAUUAGGGGUUUGACCAGAAAGAUCACAAAAGUGUUGAAUCAAGUUAGCCAUAGUCUGAGCUUCCUGAAAAGUAGCUUGCCCGCAAACCAAAAGAUCAUUUGCAAAAAGGAGGGAAUGCACAGAAGGGCAAUUUGGACCAAGAGAAAUUUCCCUUAAAUGACUAGCCUGCAAAGCUUCAUUGAGCAUAAUUGAAAGUUCAUUAAUAGCAAGGACGAAUAAGUAAGGAGACAUAGGACAGCCUUGUUGGAUUCCACGGAAACUUUUAAACUUUUGAGAAGGCUGGCCAUUAAUGAGCAUAGAGAACGUGGGAGAAGAAAUGAAUGCAUAGACCAAAUUAAUGAAAUGACCAUGGAGCCCUUUACUUGACAGAGCGUAAACAAUAAAAUUCCAUUCAUAGCGAUCAAAAGCCUUUGCAAGAUCAAUCUUAAGCAUGAAAGCAUCCUAUUUCCAAGAUUUGAGAGAAAAAGAGUGAGCAAUCUCUUGAGCAAUAAUAAUAUUGUCACUAAUCCUUCUACCCUCAAUAAAAGCUUGUUGAGUAGGGUCAAUAAAAUCUGGAAGGUGAGGUUUGAGCCGAUUAGCCAAAGAUUUAGCAAUGAUUUUAUAGAGCACAUUACAAAGACUAAUAGGCCUAUAAUCCAUGGGCACAAGAGGAACCAACUUUUUAGGGAUGAGAGCAAUAUUGGUGUCAUUAAUAUGAGAAGGAAGAGUGGCAGUAGAAUAAAAAUUAGACACAAGCUGAGUUACCUCAUCUCCAAUCCAAUCCCAAGUAGCUAAAUAAAAUUCCACAUUGAAGCCAUCUGGCCCUGGAGAAGCAUUGAGUUUCAUGUCCUUAAGAAUCUGAAAAAUCUCAUCUUUAUCAAGGACAGAAUAAGUAGGAUUGUCAUUAUCAUUAGACCAUUGGGUAAGAGGGAAAGGCAUGUCCAUGUUGUCAUUAGAAGAAGAGAAAAUGUGUCUAAAAUAGUUAACAAAAGUAUGCAUGAUGGCGCCAGGUUUGAAAUGGAUAAUGUCAUGCUCAUCUUUGAUUGAACAAAUAGUAUUUCUCUUUCUACGUUUAAGAAAAGCUUGGUGAAAAAAUUUAGUAUUACGAUCACCCUUAACUGCCCAAUUCUUCUUGCUACGUUGCUUAUAGAAUUUAUUAACCUGAGUGAGAGUUUGCUCAUACCUGGCGGUGAGAGAGUUUUCCAGAACCGGGUUUUGCUGAUGAAGAGGAAGCUGUUGUAACUCAUUAAUCCGGGCCUCCAAAUCUGCUAGGUUGUGCUGAAGGGGUUUUUUCUUCUUGCACCAAAUUUUUAAAGAACCUGCCAAAGAAGAUGAUUUUGCUGCAAAAGAAGGGAAAGAACUAGCAUUCCAAGUAUUUUUGGCAAAAGACUGAAAGUCUUUCUCCAUGAGCCACCAAUUCUCAAAUUUGAAAAUUUGCUUAGGUUUCACAAAUUUACUCUCAGUAGAAAUUAAAAUAGGAGCAUGAUCACUGAGAAUGAUGGGAAGGUUCAAAACUUAGGUAUUAGGAUAAUAAGAGCACCAAUCAGAAUUAACCAAGCAACAAUCGAGGCGUCUAUGAAUAGGAUUAGAAGUAUUCUGCCUACCACACCAAGUAUAAGCAGGGCCACUAAAGACAAUGUCAAACAAGCCAUAAUUUUUAACCAAGGAUCGGAAAGCAUGCAUCCGAUAGUAGUUGAUAUUACCAAUACAACCAUCAACAUCAUACAGGAUAUCAUUCAAGUCUCCCAUACAUAUCAUGGGUUUACCUAGACUAUCAUAUACAAAAGCAGCCACUUGGUCCCAGCUGGCAUUAGUCUGCCUAUGAUACGGGUCACCGUAUAUACAAAUGAGGCAAAAUUUGACCCCAGAAGCUACAUGGACUACAUUAGCUAAGAUAUAGUGAAAAGCAGCGGUAUGAACAGAAACUUUGAGCUCAUCAGUCCACAUAAGCCAAAGACCACCCGAGGCACCUCUAGAAGGAACAACAAAAGCAUUAGAAACAUCAAACCUAUUAACAAGAUCAACUGAAUGGACUUCGGAGGAUUUAAUUUCUGAAACAAAGGUUACCUGAACAUUAGUGGACCGCAUCAGAUUAGCAAGGUAAAGCAUGCACUCACUGCCAAGGCCCCUGCCCAUACCUCGGCAGUUCCAAGCAAUGGCCUUCAUGGCGCAUGAGGUGCGUUAGGACCAUGCGCCGCUGCCCAAGAAACUGAGUGAGCCAUUCCUUCCCCCUCAUGGUCACUGAGCUGCAUAUCACCUGCCUCCUGACGGCUGCGAAUAUCAACCGUGUCACCUUGGCCAGUGGAGCUAAUGUUAUCUUGAUCUUCCAUUGUGGUUUGACCUCGGGUGUCAAGUGUGCGACCACCAACAUUCAAACCCAAAUGGUGGAGGCGAUCAGUUCUAGGAGGAGAGAUAGGACCUUGGUAGGAGCUGUCUGCAUCUGCACUAAGAGAGUUUGAAGGCGUCCCAAUCGGCCACAGAUCAUGGCUUGCUCCUGCCUCAUUGCCUUCUGCCAAAGAAAAUCUGCUCUGAUCCGUAACGGCCCCGAGACCCACAAUUGCCACAGGUUUGAUGCUGCCUCUGCACAACACACUGCUAUAGCCCACCUGACCGGUGCCACUGUCACGGUGCCAAGUGGUAGAACCAUAGCUACGGCAAGGAAACUGGUUGAAAAUGGGACACAUACCUCCAGGUCUCCUAGUUGGGGGAACAUCCCAUCUACUAACUCCAAAUCGACGGCGGCGCCCCGAGCCAGAUGCAUCUCCUGCAGCAGGGGAAACUGGCUUGAUUCUUGUUUGAGAAGCACCGGCACGGGCAGUAGCUGCAGAUCCUCCGGAGCACUGAGGAGAGGCAGCCAUGGGACUCCCACCAGUCGUAGUGAAGAGGGGGGCGACUCCGAUUCGUGGCGGACCGAGUAAGCCCGAACCAGAGCCGGGAGGUGGAGCUGCCUCAGAUGUGUCUCAGGCUGGGCCCGCGGCAAAUCGGUCGACCGCCGGGCAUCCCUGAGAGCCGGCUGCACCAUCUUCUUCCACAAUGAGCUCAAGUAUCUUCAGCGGAGGCAAAGGAGGAUCUGGAAGAAGAGCAAGGGGGCGCUUGGGGCUGAGUCUUGGAGGAGAAGAGGAGCUGGGAUGAAUAGAAGGACCAUAGUUGCCAGAAAUUUGGGUCGAUCGGGUCGAGGAACGGGGUCGCGGGACGCGGAUCGCCACAGUUGAAAUUGAGGGUCAAAGAAGGCUACUCUUCUUCUUCUUCGGGACGCUAUUUGGCAUCGCGGGACGCGACCCCGCUACAACCGGGUCGAAAAUCCGGGUCAUUACAUUCCUAAAUCCCCCAGAAUUUGCGCAUCUAAUAACUAUUUCCAUUAAAUUAUCAUCAUUAAAGGCUCGUAAGUCAGAUGACGGCUACUUCGGCGUGAUUUCUCAACUGCCUGUUUCUUUCACACGAAGCGUGAUGUUCCUCUCUAAUACCUCUAUUGUCUUCUUCUCUUCCUUGGCAAAGCUUACGCCAUGGAUCCAUGUAGAAUCCUCUAGCCGCCCAGCACUCUCCACCUUCCAGCCACGGAUUCUCAAGCGGGUUGCCGAUCUCGUUCGAUGUUUGGAGGGAGCGGGACUAGAGAGGCCGAAUAUGGCAGCGGACAGCUCCAUGGCCGGCCGCCGACGGCCAAGUGGCAGAUCGCCCCGCCCUAGUGCCCUAGUAAGGCUUAAUUUCUCACGAAUCUUCAUGCAUACUCUUUGCUUCUUCCAUACCAAUCCGGAUCAGCACCCAUCGAUCGGGAUCGCGACCCAUCCAAGGACCCAGCUCGACCCUACCUCGCCCCCGACCCUCGAUCCGGGUCGAUCGACCCCUGGUCAGGGAUCGCAUCGUCGACCCGCGAACCAGGCUACUAUGCGAAGGACUAAUGAUUCCUUUCCCACUAAACCUAUUAUUCUCCAUAUUGGCAGGAAUUGCAGUGGAAGCGCAGUACUGCGGAUUGAGAGGAGCAAACUGAGCAGGCAGACUGAGCAAAUUUGGGGGAGAAAUAGGAUUUGCAGGUUCAUGCUGACGAGAGGUGUCCAGGGUUGAAGAUGGAAGGAUAACUGGAGUGGACUGAAUGAAAGUAGAAAACUGACCCUGCUGAAGCUGAAUGUGCUGAGAAGCCUGCUGGCCCAACACUGGCCCAUAAUUCUGUCUGAGAAUAUUCAUCUCUUCUCCAGGAGUGUACUGGAGGUCCAUAAGAAGCAUUUGCGUCCCCCGACUGAGCCGGGUCAGGCAGAGAGGCAGGCAGGUGAAUUUGUUUGUCAGGGAAUUGCAUUGCAAUGUCUCCCGUUUUAUUGCACCGCCCUAUGUCUGCCUCAGAAAUAACUGCAGUAGGUGGAACUGUUGAUGCUAGAAGAUUGUGCUCACCGCUUUGACUAUGAACAGUGCUCUGUUGAAGUUGAGACGGAGGAACUCUUUCCUGAACCUGUUGCUUACUUGCUUCCUUAGAUGAAUUACCCUGUUGUAACCUCUGAAUUUGCUUGUUAAUUUUCCGUAAUGACAACUCCUUAGGACCAACAUCUCUGCAUUUUUCCUCAGAACUGACCUUAGUUUUCCCUUUAGCAUCCUCCAUCACUAUAAGAAAUAUGUUAACUUGCGACCAUCACUAUUGGUCGCUGAAAGGUCGUUGUUUUUUAUUUGUGACCUUUUUGUGACCAAAAACAGAUGGUCAAAAAAUGGCAGUCAUAAACUGAAAUUAACGACCUUCUCUGUGAGAAGGUCGUGGAAGGCAACGACUAAAACAAAAGGUCAUUGGUUCAACGACCUUCUGUUUUGGUCACUGGCUGUCUGCCCAGGCCACGUCGGAUCCGACGUGGCAAAACUGCGACCAAAUGAGAAGGUUGUUGAUAAGAAUCAGCCCGGUCCAGUUCAGUGUUUUACAUGGGCCGAGCCCAAAGAUUCAGCCUUUUACAUAUAUUUUCCCUAUUAAUUUUGGUCAGCUACAUGGGCCAAGCCCAACAUUAUAGCCUUUUUAUUUCCAGGUCCGUGGUCCUUUUUUGGACCAAUUCUUUUUUUGGUCGCAUCUAUUUCUCAAUUGGGCCUCGGCCUUUUUACAGUCAAUUUCAUUAAUUAUUAUUUUUUCCUUGUGAAUAUUAUUUGGAAAAUGGCCUUUUUAGAUGCCAAAUACUAUUAGGUCCCACUUGUCAGGUUCUAAUUAAAGAUAGCCAAGGUUUAAUUUCCACACAAUUAUUUCAGUCAGAACAGCAAAGAAAUGAAAAUUAUCAAACCACAUGCCAAUUUUGGCUAAUAGCACAAUCUUUACAUAAUUCAUUUCACCAUUGCAUGUGAUACUAUCACAACAUAUAACUACUACUACAAAUAUACUCCAGACUUCGUCACUUCAAGCCGAAGCUCCUUCAAUGAGAGGAAACACCAUUUCUGGAUAUGUUCGUACAGGCUAAACAAAGGCAUCUAACAAUAAACCAAAAGAGUUAGAAACAAAAUAAAAACAAAAUAUAGAAAGCAGCUAGGGACUAAAUCAUGAAGCAUCUCUACAUGUAACAUGUAACAAUAAUAACCACAAGGACCAGCUCACAGAAACAACACAAAAGACAAGAUCACAAAAGACAAGAUCGCAUAGUUGU
RNAcentral lists this long non-coding RNA (9643 nucleotides) under Triticum aestivum (bread wheat). RNAcentral's name for it is "long non-coding RNA (TAES_LNC013590)". Lineage: Eukaryota; Viridiplantae; Streptophyta; Magnoliopsida; Poales; Poaceae. The record is from RNAcentral.